GGGGCCACGUAGCAAAAAGGCGAGAAGAAAAGAAGAGCGAUGCUUUUUUUUUUUUUGGUCAAAAACAGCGAUGCUUUUUCGACGUUGGAUUUCAAUUUCCCGUCACUUUUACUCGCAGCGACUUCGAUUAAUUUCGUUGGCUUCAAGUUAGAGAAAGCAUGAUUGAUCGAUCAUCCAAAAGCAGGAGGAGCUCGAGAUAAUCAACUCUCAGGGAUUCUUCCUAAACCAAGCUUCAUUCCAGUUUGGUGCUGAUUUUUUUUUUUCUUAUUUGCGGUGUCGUUUUGUGAAAUACCCAGAUUAUUUUAACAAAAAAAUCCAGAUUAUGUUUUCUGGGUUUUGUCGUUGAUCCGUGAAUUUUGUGUGAUUCGGUGGAGAAUUGGUGAAAUUCGGGGUUUUGGGGUGAUGGUAAGGAAUGGGGUGAUGGAUACACGAAAAUUCUGGAGAAGGAAAUGGAUUUCUGGGUUUUACAGAGUUGAGAUCGAGGGCGAUUGUGAUUUGGGUGAGGAACAGAGCUAGAAUCCUUUCAGCACAAAAUUCGAUCAAGUUCUUGAACUCUUUCUCUGUUCUUCGCUGUGGCGUCUCUGAUAGAUGAAAAGGAGAUGAUCGGAAGCCCGGGAACUAUGAGUGGUUUGAUUUUGAGAUUAGGGCAGUGUGCUUCUGCUGCUGCUUCGAUCGGUGUCAUGAUUUCUACUUUCGGCUUCUCCAGUUACACCGCAUUCUGCUUUUUAGUUGCAUCCAUGAGUCUUCAAUUGAUCUGGAGCUUUGGACUUGCUUGCCUUGACGUUUACGCAAUAAGGAGAAAAACCGACUUGCGGAGUCUAAUUCUAUUGAGCCUUUUCGCUGUCGGUGACUGGGUCACAGCCCUUUUGUCUCUUGCAGCUGCAUGUUCAUCUGCAGGAGUUACAGUUUUGUUUGUGGAAGAUACCAAAUUUUGCAGGCAACAAGUGUAUCUGUCCUGUAAUAGGUUUCAGAUAUCUGUUGGUUUGGCUUUCUUCACCUGGGCUCUGGCCGCAGUGUCAUCUCAUGUGAUGUUUUGGAUCUUGAUAUGACACUGAACGAUCAAAUCUCCAAAUUUACCAAAACUCAUCAUACUCAAGUGAAUUUGUUUGGGUUCUCUCUUUUUUUUUAGCUGCCUUGACUGAACAUGAGCCAGGUGGUAAACAGAAACUGAAAGGUGAACCACUUGGAUUUGGCUGACAUGACGGUACAAACCGCCAGCCCGGGCUCGGGGGCCACGGAGGAAGGCACCCCUUGACUCGGGAUCCAACCCGACAAAGCUCUGGUACGCCAAGCAACCUCAGCCAUUGAAUGCUGCUGAUCGUUAAAGCCAUUUGAAAGGAGCCUUUGAAAGGCAGUUUCUGUUACCAGUAACAGAGCUAAACAGCAGGACUGUUGACUGUUGAUGGAAUUGAUGUUGAGGGGGAUUCUCGGGUUUCAAGUUCGAUUUUUUCGGUUCUAGAGAAAUUGUCAUUAUUCGGUUUUUAUAUCGGUUCGGUUACGCCAAGUAGCAGAUCGUAGGACUGGUGGUCGUGCUCAGCGGGUAGGAGACUACUGUCGGGUAGCAGUUCGGGCACUGAGGCGAGCAGACCGGCCACGGGAUAUGUGGCGGCGGAGUGUACGGAACACAAUAGCAGGACCACGGCACACGUGACACGAAUCGACUCUCCAUUGUAGUGAGAAGUUCAAUAAAAAAUCGCUUAAAUCACAUUAUAUUUAUGUUUUGGAAGAAAUAGAGGGUCCAUGCA
This is an RNA transcript of Tarenaya hassleriana, 1745 nucleotides long. It is a transcript of the gene named CASP-like protein 5B1, with no coding region annotated. The transcript has 4 exons. Lineage: Eukaryota; Viridiplantae; Streptophyta; Magnoliopsida; Brassicales; Cleomaceae. The record is from RefSeq and is a predicted model, not a curated record.